Molecule: transfer RNA, 83 nt
Organism: Cylindrobasidium torrendii FP15055 ss-10
Lineage: Eukaryota; Fungi; Basidiomycota; Agaricomycetes; Agaricales; Physalacriaceae
Rfam family: tRNA
About the family: Transfer RNA (tRNA) molecules are approximately 80 nucleotides in length. Their secondary structure includes four short double-helical elements and three loops (D, anti-codon, and T loops).
Source: Rfam
GGCUACUUGGCGCAAUGGUAGCGCGUUUGGCUUCGAUCGCCCUACGUACCAAAAGGUUGCAGGUUCGAGUCCUGCAGUGGUCA